RNAcentral lists this ribosomal RNA (459 nucleotides) under uncultured bacterium. RNAcentral's name for it is "partial 16S ribosomal RNA". It matches the Rfam family "Bacterial small subunit ribosomal RNA", at positions 338 to 795 of the family's 1533-position model. The record is from RNAcentral.
CCUACGGGAGGCAGCAGUGAGGAAUAUUGGUCAAUGGACGAGAGUCUGAACCAGCCAAGUAGCGUGAAGGAUGACUGCCCUAUGGGUUGUAAACUUCUUUUAUAAAGGAAUAAAACGAUGCACGUGUGGCUUUUUGCAUGUACUUUAUGAAUAAGGAUCGGCUAACUACGUGCCAGCAGCCGCGGUAAUACGGAGGAAGCGAGCGUUGUCCGGAAUUACUGGGUGUAAAGGGAGCGUAGGCGGGAGUGCAAGUUGGGUGUCAAAUCUUCCGGCUCAACCGUAAGUCGCACUUAAAACUGGAGUUCUUGAGUGAAGUAGAGGCAGGCGGAAUUCGUGGUGUAGCGGUGAAAUGCGUAGAUAUUAGGAGGAACACCAGUGGCGAAGGCAGCCCGCUGGGCUGUUACUGACGCUGAGGCUCGAAAGUGUGGGGAGCAAACAGGAUUAGAUACCCCAGUAGUC